RNAcentral lists this ribosomal RNA (837 nucleotides) under Apiospora esporlensis. Its description in RNAcentral is "Arthrinium esporlense partial large subunit ribosomal RNA". It matches the Rfam family "Eukaryotic large subunit ribosomal RNA", at positions 78 to 943 of the family's 3401-position model. Lineage: Eukaryota; Fungi; Ascomycota; Sordariomycetes; Amphisphaeriales; Apiosporaceae. The record is from RNAcentral.
CCCUAGUAACGGCGAGUGAAGCGGGAACAGCUCAAAUUUGAAAUCUGGCCCUUGGGUCCGAGUUGUAAUUUGCAGAGGAUGCUUUUGGUGCGGUGCCUUCCGAGUUCCCUGGAACGGGACGCCUUAGAGGGUGAGAGCCCCGUACGGUUGGCCACCAAGCCUGUGUAAAGCUCCUUCGACGAGUCGAGUAGUUUGGGAAUGCUGCUCAAAAUGGGAGGUAUAUUUCUUCUAAAGCUAAAUACUGGCCAGAGACCGAUAGCGCACAAGUAGAGUGAUCGAAAGAUGAAAAGCACUUUGAAAAGAGGGUUAAAUAGCACGUGAAAUUGUUGAAAGGGAAGGAUUUAUGACCAGACUUUUUCUGGGGGGAUCAUCCGGUGUUCUCACCGGUGCACUUCCCCCAGUUGAGGCCAGCAUCGGUUUCUGUCGGGGGAUAAAAGCUUCAGGAAUGUGGCUCCUUCGGGAGUGUUAUAGCCUGUUGCAUAAUACCCUGACGGGGACCGAGGUUCGCGCAUUGCAAGGAUGCUGGCGUAAUGGUUAUUAAUCACCCGUCUUGAAACACGGACCAAGGAGUCGAACAUUUGUGCGAGUGUUUGGGUGUUAAACCCUCACGCGUAAUGAAAGUGAACGGAGGUGAGAGCCUUUCGGGGUGCAUCAUCGACCGAUCCUGAUGUCUUCGGAUGGAUUUGAGUAAGAGCAUAACUGUUCGGACCCGAAAGAUGGUGAACUAUGCGUGGAUAGGGUGAAGCCAGAGGAAACUCUGGUGGAGGCUCGCAGCGGUUCUGACGUGCAAAUCGAUCGUCAAAUCUGCGCAUGGGGGCGAAAGACUAAUCGAACCAU